AAAAACAGGAAGUGACUUCUGUUUGUCAUCUUCAAACGACGUGGAUGCAUGUGACGGCGUACCUUUCCGAAGCUUCCUUUCCCGAGCAUCUUGUGCAGGACAAAGUCAUCGACAGUGAAUUUGGCUUGGUGAUCUUUCCUCGGGACGGCGUACAGAGGCUCCUCCUCCUCCUGCUCCUCCAUCAGCGCCUCAUUGUCAGACCUGCUGACGUCUGUUGGCCCCUCCCAUGAAACGCCCUGCAGCUCUGAACAUGAGGUAAACUCGUCAAUAAUCCUGACGGAGCUCGAACGACUCCUGCCUGGCCGACACCCACUGGACCUUCUCGACCAAUGAUGUCAGAGUCUUUGGUGCUUCGGGCCUGAAGGUUGAGACAGGUCUGAGUGGAGAGGUCAGAGGGUAAACGUUGGCCUCACACCAGCCGACAGGAAAGAUGUUCAUGGACGUCGAGUCUACGAUGAAUUCAGACUUUGUUGAACCUGCAGAGAGAGAGAGGACAGUGCCACAAUGACGAGGAAAGCUUCACCAGACCUGGACCUGGAGCUGGACCUGACUUGAAUGAAACAUGAAAACAUGAACAUCAC
Molecule: long non-coding RNA, 581 nt
Organism: Solea solea (common sole)
Lineage: Eukaryota; Metazoa; Chordata; Actinopteri; Pleuronectiformes; Soleidae
Exons: 5
Source: RefSeq, a predicted model, not a curated record